CCUGAUCCAGUCCUGCCGCGUGUCUGAAGUAAGUGCCUUCGGGUUGUAAAGGACUUUUGUCCGGGAGCAAAUACCCAGUGCUAAUAACGCUGGGGGCUGAGAGUACCGGAAGAAUAAGCACCGGCUACUACGUG
RNAcentral lists this ribosomal RNA (134 nucleotides) under uncultured beta proteobacterium. RNAcentral describes it as "partial 16S ribosomal RNA". It matches the Rfam family "Bacterial small subunit ribosomal RNA", at positions 382 to 507 of the family's 1533-position model. The record is from RNAcentral. Lineage: Bacteria; Pseudomonadati; Pseudomonadota; Betaproteobacteria.